UUUAACCUCUUCAGGUAUGCUAUCAUUCAAAGCAAUGUCCUCAAGAUCUUUAGCUACCUGCAUCCAAGAUGAACCAAGGCCCAAAUCAUUGCACUUCAAAAAACAAUGUUUAUAGAAGGCGAGAGUCCAAGUCAAUCAUUUUGUAUCCUUUAUCUGCUUCUCCAAAUUGCUGAAUGCACCCUCCUCUUUAUUUGGGUCACCCUAAUUCCUCAGUUCAUCUUUCUCAAAAUGUAUCAUCAAACAUAGAAUGUUUGGAUUCAUUACAGUUACAUUUACAGGUGUCCGACUCCAAUUGCAGAUGUAUCAAUUCAUGGUCUUCCUUUGAGCCCCUCCAUCUCACCAAAGUACAUUAUGUCUGAGACUCUGCAGCCCAACACCCUAGAAUUAUAGAACUAUAUUGUUUAAUACAUGGACAAAAAAGAUAC
This is a long non-coding RNA of Rhododendron vialii, 425 nucleotides long. RefSeq lists it as uncharacterized. The record is from RefSeq and is a predicted model, not a curated record. The transcript is spliced from 2 exons. NCBI's taxonomy places the organism in Eukaryota, Viridiplantae, Streptophyta, Magnoliopsida, Ericales, Ericaceae.